Molecule: ribosomal RNA, 256 nt
Filed under: uncultured Actinomycetes bacterium
Lineage: Bacteria; Bacillati; Actinomycetota; Actinomycetes
Description: uncultured actinobacterium partial 16S ribosomal RNA
Rfam family: Bacterial small subunit ribosomal RNA
Source: RNAcentral
GACGAACGCUGGCGGCGCGCUUAACACAUGCAAGUCGAGCGAGAACCGGGGCUUUCGGGCCCCGGGGACAGCGGCGAACGGGUGAGUAACACGUGAGUAACCUGCCCUCGGCACCGGAAUAGCCCGGGGAAACCGGAUUAAUGCCGGAUAGCCCCUCUGCCCUGCGGGGCGGCGGGAAAAGGUAGCUUCGGCCUCUGGCCGAGGAUGGGCUCGCGGCGGAUUAGCUUGUUGGCGGGGUAACGGCCCACCAAGGCGA